GGGAAGGUGCAUGGGAGGUGACGCAUCCUAUAGAGGAAGAAGCCAGAAAUAUCCCGGCCCUUCAUGGAUCUGGCCACUGGCUCCAGGACCCUACCCUCCUUUCCAGACACACAUCCUUUGGGUGGACCCUAAGAAGGAGUCGAGAAGAUUUGUUUGUUUCCCUGCCCCACAUCACUGUGUGAACACUGAACUUUACUUUGGAGAAGGCACCAGGCUCACAGUUAUAGAGAAUCUGGAAAAGGUCAAACCUCCCACGGUCACAGUGUUUGAACCGUCGGAAGCAGAGACCUCCCGAACCCAGAAGGCCACACUCGUGUGCCUGGCCACCGGCUUCUACCCCGACCACGUGGAGCUGAGCUGGUGGGUGAAUGGGAAGGAAGUCCAGAAUGGGGUCAGCACGGACCCUCAGCCCUACAAGGAGCGGCUGGAUGAGAAUGACUCCAGCUACUGUCUGAGCAGCCGGCUGAGGGUGUCCUCUGCCUUCUGGCACAACCCUCGCAACCACUUUCGCUGCCAAGUCCAGUUCCACGGGCUCGGGGACGCUGACGAGUGGCAGAACAGCCAACGGACCAAACCCGUCACCCAGAACAUCAGUGCCGAGGCCUGGGGCAGAGCAGACUGUGGCUUCACUUCGGUGUCCUAUCAGCAGGGCAUCCUGUCUGCCACCAUCCUCUAUGAGAUCCUGCUGGGGAAGGCCACCCUGUACGCGUUGCUGGUCGGUGCCCUGGUGCUGAUGGCCAAGGUCAAGAGAAAGGGUUCCUGAAACUACCUCAGAGGCAGAGGCGGGAGCUUCCAGCUUGCUAUUGCCCAGUAUGGAUUCUCCUUUUUCGACUUCUAGCCAGUGCUUCUCAAGAGCUGUUUUCAUCUCUCCGCUCACCCCAAUAAUUACCCACUAUGCUCCUGAACACCUGGACGCUGAUAACCCAAAUCUCCCUAACCCAGGGGAACCGCUAGUGUGACUAAAUUGACUGUUGACUGAAUCAAUAAAAAUGAUGUGUUCUGGCUUGA
Molecule: non-coding RNA, 1008 nt
Organism: Mustela erminea (ermine)
Lineage: Eukaryota; Metazoa; Chordata; Mammalia; Carnivora; Mustelidae
Source: the annotation of a RefSeq genome assembly